ACGGAGGGUGCGAGCGUUAUCCGGAAUUACUGGGUUUAAAGGGUGCGUAGGCGGCUGUGUAAGUCAGUGCUGAAAUAUCCCGGCUUAACUGGGAGGGUGGCAUUGAUACUGUGGAGCUAGAGUACAGAUGAGGUAGGCGGAAUUGACGGUGUAGCGGUGAAAUGCUUAGAUAUCGUCAAGAACACCUAUAGUGAAGGCAGCUUACUAGGCUGUAACUGACGCUGAGGCACGAAAGUGUGGGGAUCAAACAGGA
This 253-nucleotide ribosomal RNA is filed under the name uncultured prokaryote. RNAcentral's name for it is "partial 16S ribosomal RNA". It matches the Rfam family "Bacterial small subunit ribosomal RNA", at positions 525 to 777 of the family's 1533-position model. The record is from RNAcentral.